Molecule: long non-coding RNA, 213 nt
Organism: Exaiptasia diaphana
Lineage: Eukaryota; Metazoa; Cnidaria; Anthozoa; Actiniaria; Aiptasiidae
Exons: 3
Source: RefSeq, a predicted model, not a curated record
CAAAGGUACGUGACGCAGUAGUAAUUUGUGAAUUUUUAAGUUGGCUGGAAAAUGAGGUCAAGCUUAAGACGAAAAACCUUACAGAACUUUCCAGCGAGGAAAAACUUUUGCAAUUGAGAAAAACCCAGGAAAACUACAUAAGUCCCAGUUUUGCAACAAUCUCUGGAUUUGGACGAAACAGUGCCAUUAUACACUAUAAGUAAGCCUUGAAAU